UCGGCCCAAACAAUUAAUAAAAUCGGCCCAAGAGGGAGCCCAAUAUUUUCGGCCCAAACCCGGCUCAAACCCGGCCCAAACCCGGCUGAAACCCGGCCCAAACCCGGCUCCCUUUUCUAACCUAAAUAUACACACACAAACACCUCCCAACACACACACAAGUUUCUCUCUCUCUCUAUCUCUCGGACCUCUCUCUCUAUCUCUCGGACCUCUCUCUCUCCCGACCCUCUCUCUGCUCGGCUGAGGGCGGCGCCGCCUCCGGCGCGCCGCCUCGCCGUCGCCUUCGCCUUCGCCGUCGCCUUCUCCUCUAUCUCUCUCGCUCAAUCUCGGCCGCUGGAAAGGCGCAGCAAGCGCAGCCACGCCGCCGCUCCGUCGCCUCCGCUCCUCCUCCAUGGCAGAUCCGCCACCGCCGUUCAACGCCACGGAUGUUCACGGCCAUCGCCUGGCCGUGGAAGAGCACGGCCGCCGCCUGCCGCCCUGAUUCUCUCUCUCGGUUUCUAGAUCUCUAGAUCGGAACACUGUUCAUCAUCUCUCUCUCUUGCUCGAUCCAGCCGUCGCCGCCACGGAAUUCGCCGGAGGAGCAGCGGCGAUAGGCCGCGCCACCCUCGGCUCUCUCGCCUUUCUCUCUGGAUCGACGGGUAGCCUAAGAUCGGAGACCACCUCGGCUCCGUCGCCGACCGUCGACCGCCGGCAGCCACCGCGGCUGCCGUCCCCUCUGAUUUCGACUCACACACACAGUAGGUUCAAGCCACAAUUUAGUUCACAAAAUAGCAUAGGAUUUUGAGCAGAAAUCAAAUACUGUAAAUGCUUAUUGAAAUCUGAAAUUCUUUUCUUGAAACUGAACUAGUCUAUAAAUUUCAGUUCAUAUGUGCAUA
This is a long non-coding RNA of Salvia miltiorrhiza (redroot sage), 875 nucleotides long. RefSeq lists it as uncharacterized. NCBI's taxonomy places the organism in Eukaryota, Viridiplantae, Streptophyta, Magnoliopsida, Lamiales, Lamiaceae. The record is from RefSeq and is a predicted model, not a curated record. The transcript has 2 exons.